UGGCUCAGUUGGUAAAGCAUCUGCCUGCAAUGCAGAAGACCUGGGUUUGAUCCCUAG
This 57-nucleotide transfer RNA is filed under the name Bos taurus (domestic cattle). It matches the Rfam family "tRNA", at positions 8 to 63 of the family's 71-position model. From Rfam's summary of the family: Transfer RNA (tRNA) molecules are approximately 80 nucleotides in length. Their secondary structure includes four short double-helical elements and three loops (D, anti-codon, and T loops). RNAcentral also lists the same sequence under 1 other name. The record is from Rfam by way of RNAcentral. Lineage: Eukaryota; Metazoa; Chordata; Mammalia; Artiodactyla; Bovidae.